AACAAGAAGAAGAAGACGAAGAAGGAGGAGAAGAAGAAGAAGAACGAGCCUUGCUUCAAGGCUAAAAGGUCCUUGGCAGUGGACUUCUUUCUCUGGAUCUUCUCCUUCUUCUUCUUCUUCUUGUUGUUGUUGUUCUUCUUCUU
This 143-nucleotide non-coding RNA is filed under the name Lotharella globosa. The record is from RNAcentral. Lineage: Eukaryota; Cercozoa; Chlorarachniophyceae.